CUACGGGACGCAGCAGUCGAGAAUCAUUGUCAAUGCACGAAAGUGUGAACAUGCGACGCCGCGUGGAGGAAGACGGCCCUUGGGUUGUAAACUCCUGUCAGCAGGGAGGAAGGGCAGCAUCACUAAUAGUGGUGUUGUUUGACAGUACCUGCAGAGGAAGUCACGGCUAACUCUGUGCCAGCAGCCGCGGUAAUACAGAGGUGGCGAACGUUGUUCGGAUUUACUGGGCGUAAAGGGUCCGUAGGCGGCUUGGUGUGUCAGAUGUGAAAGCCCACAGCUCAACUGUGGAAUUGCAUUUGAAACUGCCGAGCUAGAGUACUGGAGGGGAGAAGGGAACACUUGGUGUAGCGGUGAAAUGCGUAGAUAUCAAGUGGAACACCGGAGGCGAAGGCGCUUCUCUGGACAGAUACUGACGCUCAUGGACGAAAGUUAGGGUAGCGAAAGGGAUUAGAUACCCCUGUAGUC
This 465-nucleotide ribosomal RNA is filed under the name uncultured bacterium. RNAcentral's name for it is "partial 16S ribosomal RNA". It matches the Rfam family "Bacterial small subunit ribosomal RNA", at positions 339 to 795 of the family's 1533-position model. The record is from RNAcentral.